UACGUAGGUGGCAAGCGUUGUCCGGAUUUACUGGGUGUAAAGGGCGUGUAGCCGGGCUGACAAGUCAGAUGUGAAAUUCCGGGGCUCAACCCCGGACCUGCAUUUGAAACUGUUGGUCUUGAGUAUCGGAGAGGCAGGCGGAAUUCCUAGUGUAGCGGUGAAAUGCGUAGAUAUUAGGAGGAACACCAGUGGCGAAGGCGGCCUGCUGGACGACAACUGACGGUGAGGCGCGAAAGCGUGGGGGGCAAACAGG
RNAcentral lists this ribosomal RNA (253 nucleotides) under uncultured bacterium. RNAcentral describes it as "partial 16S ribosomal RNA". It matches the Rfam family "Bacterial small subunit ribosomal RNA", at positions 524 to 776 of the family's 1533-position model. The record is from RNAcentral.